RNAcentral lists this long non-coding RNA (1138 nucleotides) under Bos grunniens (domestic yak). RNAcentral describes it as "lncRNA (ENSBGRG00000015107.1)". Lineage: Eukaryota; Metazoa; Chordata; Mammalia; Artiodactyla; Bovidae. The record is from RNAcentral.
CGAUUUUCAACUGGCAAUGUAUACUGCUCUCAUCAUCUUGAAGCGUGCGUGUGUGUGUAUUCAUAUUGCAAAGUUAAAACUUUACAACAACCUGUUAUUUGAAGUUCUGGUUAUUACAGGUCAUGAUAUGAAUUUUAUAAAUUUUAUAAAGUUAUAAAUUGGAGGAUUUAUAAUCCUCCAAUGAGAAGAACUGGGGAGACUGUCCUCUUAAAUCUAGGGCAGUAGUUUCAAGUUCCAUUCCAGAUGGGAAACAGGCAGCAUCUAUUAUUGUUUUGCUUGUCCAUAGUAAUGUGGUUGCAAUGAACAGAGUAUGGACCCUGGGGUCAGAUAAACCUGAGUUCAAGUCCUGGUGUACAAAGCUGAGCGGCUCUGCCUACGUGAUCUUCCAUUUCUUAGUAUGUGAAAAGGAAGAGCUGUGAUACUCAAAUGAGAAGGCAGAGCCAAAUGUGUGAUAAAUAAUAUAAAUGCAAGAAAUUCACCUCAUGAUCCAUAAUGUCAUCAUUGAAAUAGUUAAAAAGCAUUCUUCAAAGACUUGAAGUGACUAACUCCAUAUUAUUCUUAAUUUCUGGAUGAAAGUGAAGUGUGUGAUCAACUUUUUGAAAUCACAUAUUUUAUAUGACAAUAAAGACUUGAAGAACUUUUACUAAGGAAUUAAAGUUUAAAGUCCCUUAUAGGCAAAUAUCAAUUAAACACAACAGUGUACUAAUUUGGGUCCAGUAACUUACAGAGAAAAGCUAAAAUCAUAAUAAAAAUAAUAGAGUGAAUUUUGACUGGAACAUUCUGGGGUUGAAGUAUAAUAACUUUUUUUUCUUUUAUAUUUUAAUCUUAAAAUUAUUUUUGAGUAAAUAUUACAUUCAUAUGAUUCUUACAGAAAAAAUUCAAAAGGGCGUUUAGGGAGAAACCUACUUCCCAUGAAGUCCCUGGCACCUCAAUCCCUGAAGGCAACUAAUGCUAAUACCUCCUGGAGUUCCUUUUGUUCUGGGUAGACUGGUGGGAGAGGAGGGGAGAGGGAAGCCUGUUGACUCUGGAAUGCCUCUUCCUUCAGACCUGAGCCUUCAUCAUGCAGGCAGGCUCAGUCGCUCAGCCCUAUCCGAUUCUUUGACAACCCCAUGGACUGUAGCCUAUCAGGCUCCUCUGU